RNAcentral lists this ribosomal RNA (305 nucleotides) under uncultured bacterium. RNAcentral's name for it is "bacterial SSU rRNA". It matches the Rfam family "Bacterial small subunit ribosomal RNA", at positions 332 to 656 of the family's 1533-position model. The record is from RNAcentral.
UGGACCUACGGGGGGCAGCAGUGGGGAAUAUUGCACAAUGGGGGAAACCCUGAUGCAGCAACGCCGCGUGAGUGAAGAAGUAUUUCGGUAUGUAGAGCUCUAUCAGCAGGGAAGAAUAUGACAGUACCUGACUAAGAAGCACCGGCUAAAUACGUGCCAGCAGCCGCGGUAAUACGUAUGGUGCAAGCGUUAUCCGGAUUUACUGGGUGUAAAGGGAGCGCAGGCGGCGCGUUAAGCCUGGUGUGAAAGCCCGCGGCCCAACCGCGGGACUGCAUUGGGAACUGGCGCGCUGGAGUGCCGGAGGG